CCUACGGGUGGCAGCAGUGGGGAAUAUUGGGCAAUGGGCGCAAGCCUGACCCAGCAACGCCGCGUGAAGGAAGAAGGCUUUCGGGUUGUACACUUCUUUUAAGAGGGAAGAGCAGAAGACGGUACCUCUUGAAUAAGCCACGGCUAACUACGUGCCAGCAGCCGCGGUAAUACGUAGGUGGCGAGCGUUAUCCGGAAUGAUUGGGCGUAAAGGGUGCGCAGGCGGUCCUGCAAGUCUGGAGUGAAACGCAUGAGCUCAACUCAUGCAUGGGCUUGGAAACUGGAGGACUGGAGAGCAGGAGAGGGCGGUGGAACUGCAUGUGUAGCAGUAAAAUGCGUAGAUAUAUGGAAGAAAACCCGUGGGGAAGGCGGGCGCCUGGGCUGUUGCUGACGCUGAGGCACGAAAGCGUGGGGAGCAAAUAGGAUUAGAUACCCCUGUAGUC
This 442-nucleotide ribosomal RNA is filed under the name uncultured bacterium. RNAcentral's name for it is "partial 16S ribosomal RNA". It matches the Rfam family "Bacterial small subunit ribosomal RNA", at positions 338 to 795 of the family's 1533-position model. The record is from RNAcentral.